GGGUUAAGAGGUAAAAAUGUGACCUUGCGAACACUCAAGGUAUUUAAUGAGACCCAUGCUGGGAAAAGAUAGUGAGAACCAUGUGUGAAACAAGAAUGAUUUUAGUCUGGAAAUAAUAAAUUAAUAGCGGAAGAUGGCAGAUACAUGAUUAAGUGAACUGAUUUUUGUUAAAUUACUUUUACCUUUCUUUAAUUAAUAAAGAUGCGGAGGGUAUUGCUGACAUCUGGUUUUGAUUGAUGACGGGAACAAGUAAUUUGUGGACUAGUAAAGUAGUAAUAGAAUUCUCUCGUGGAUUGAAGAUAAGAAUGUUUUCUCAAUCCGUGAGAAUGAUAAGCAGUUUGACCAGUUUUGGUCAGAGUAACAAGGAGAAUGCUUUAAGCUUGUUGUCUAGGGAAAAUUCUUUCUUGGGAAGGAGUUCCCUAUUCAAGUUUUUGGCUGAGUUUGUCCAUCAACAUUUGUAGGGUUUCAGUAUUAGUACUGCACAG
Molecule: unclassified non-coding RNA, 485 nt
Filed under: Hevea brasiliensis (rubber tree)
Lineage: Eukaryota; Viridiplantae; Streptophyta; Magnoliopsida; Malpighiales; Euphorbiaceae
Source: RNAcentral